Molecule: non-coding RNA, 29 nt
Filed under: Rattus norvegicus (Norway rat)
Lineage: Eukaryota; Metazoa; Chordata; Mammalia; Rodentia; Muridae
Source: RNAcentral
UGGGUUUGUUUCUUUUGUUGGGAUCCCUA